GGGUGCUUAGCUCAGCUGGUAGAGCGGCGCCCUUACAAGGCGUAGGUCGGGGGUUCGAACCCCUCAGCACCCA
Non-coding RNA from Burkholderia latens, 73 nucleotides. NCBI's taxonomy places the organism in Bacteria, Pseudomonadati, Pseudomonadota, Betaproteobacteria, Burkholderiales, Burkholderiaceae. The record is from Rfam.